CGAUUCUCUUCGGAGAAGAGCGGCGGACGGGUGAGUAACGCGUGGGUAACCUGCCCUGUACACACGGAUAACAUACCGAAAGGUAUGCUAAUACGGGAUAAUAUGUUUUGAUCGCAUGGUCGAAAUAUCAAAGCUCCGGCGGUACAGGAUGGACCCGCGUCUGAUUAGCUAGUUGGUGAGGUAAUGGCUCACCAAGGCGACGAUCAGUAGCCGACCUGAGAGGGUGAUCGGCCACAUUGGAACUGAGACACGGUCCAAACUCCUACGGGAGGCAGCAGUGGGGAAUAUUGCACAAUGGGCGAAAGCCUGAUGCAGCAACGCCGCGUGAGCGAUGAAGGCCUUCGGGUCGUAAAGCUCUGUCCUCAAGGAAGAUAAUGACGGUACUUGAGGAGGAAGCCCCGGCUAACUACGUGCCAGCAGCCGCGGUAAUACGUAGGGGGCUAGCGUUAUCCGGAAUUACUGGGCGUAAAGGGUGCGUAGGUGGUUUCUUAAGUCAGAGGUGAAAGGCUACGGCUCAACCGUAGUAAGCCUUUGAAACUGAGAAACUUGAGUGCAGGAGAGGAGAGUAGAAUUCCUAGUGUAGCGGUGAAAUGCGUAGAUAUUAGGAGGAAUACCAGUUGCGAAGGCGGCUCUCUGGACUGUAACUGACACUGAGGCACGAAAGCGUGGGGAGCAAACAGGAUUAGAUACCCUGGUAGUCCACGCCGUAAACGAUGAGUACUGGCUGUCGGAGGUUACCCCCUUCGGUGGCGCAGCUAACGCAUUAAGUACUCCGCCUGGGAAGUACGCUCGCAAGAGUGA
This 801-nucleotide ribosomal RNA is filed under the name uncultured bacterium. Its description in RNAcentral is "bacterial SSU rRNA". It matches the Rfam family "Bacterial small subunit ribosomal RNA", at positions 67 to 897 of the family's 1533-position model. The record is from RNAcentral.